CCAUCCCACGUUCGGAUUGCAGGCUGCAACCCGCCUGUAUGAAGUUGGAAUCGCUAGUAAUCGCGGAUCAGCAUGCCGCGGUGAAUACGUUCCCGGGCCUUGUACACACCGCCCGUCACACCAUGAGAGUCGGGAACACCCGAAGUCCGUAGCCUAACCGCAAGGGGGGCGCGGCCGAAGGUGGGUUCGAUAAUUGGGGUGAAGUCGUAACAAGGUAGC
This 219-nucleotide ribosomal RNA is filed under the name uncultured bacterium. RNAcentral describes it as "partial 16S ribosomal RNA". It matches the Rfam family "Bacterial small subunit ribosomal RNA", at positions 1282 to 1500 of the family's 1533-position model. The record is from RNAcentral.